Lepidothrix coronata (blue-crowned manakin) is the source of this 352-nucleotide long non-coding RNA. RefSeq lists it as uncharacterized. The record is from RefSeq and is a predicted model, not a curated record. The transcript has 3 exons. NCBI's taxonomy places the organism in Eukaryota, Metazoa, Chordata, Aves, Passeriformes, Pipridae.
ACCAUCCUCAAACUGCUGUUUUUCCAAGUCUCCUGAUCCAACAUGCCUUGGCUAAGUCUAAAUGGGGUUUUUGUGGAUAGAACAAGAUACAGUAGAAGCAGGUCAAGCAUUUCCCUGGGUUAAAACACAACCAUCGAGGAAGCCGAUGGGAGGUGCUGAUUCCAAAAGCCAGGGAAGAAGGACCAUUCACAGAAGCAGCAUCACACAACCAGCAAGGAGAGCUGCUUGUGCACUGUAGUGUCGUAUCUACAAUAAGCCAAAACAGUCAGCCCCUAUUUCAGCUUAAAGUGGCUUUUUAGAUGCCAAGACCUAUCUGUAGACCAGAUGUCCAAAUGAAAACCAACUAACCAAA